Molecule: non-coding RNA, 929 nt
Filed under: Iridoteuthis sp. GS-2021
Lineage: Eukaryota; Metazoa; Mollusca; Cephalopoda; Sepiida; Sepiolidae
Source: RNAcentral
GUAUAAUUUGGCUUUGGUUAUAAUAUAGGCUAUUAUUAGGUUAAUAUAUGUUAGGUUUAUAAAUAAUCAUUUUAUCUAUAAUAUUAUUUAUUUGGUUUGUUUAAUAUAAAUUAAGUAAUAAAUAUUACAUGUUAAUAUUUUAUUAUAAUGUUUGAAAGGGAUUACGCAGUAUUUAUUAUUAUACAAUGAAUGAAAGUUUGAUAUAGUUAAUGUAAAUUAAAAGUGGUUAAAUUGGUGCCAGCAUCUGCGGUUAUACUAGUGCUUUGAGUUUAUAUUUAUGUAGUAUAAAAUAAAGUAAUAAUAUUAAUAUAUUUAGGUCAAUUAAGGGCAAUAGUUGUAGGUAAAAUUUAAUAAUUGUUAUUAUUUAUAUUGUUCUAGUAUGUAAAGUCUUUGAAAAUAGGGAUGAAAACUAGGAUUAGAUACCCUAUUAUUCUUUAUUUUAAAAAUUUUUAUUAUUUAAGUAGUGUAAACAAAUAAUUUUGUAAUGAGUGUUUAAAUUUUAUUAAAGUGUUUGAAACUUAAAAGGCUUGGCGGUAUUAUAUAUCCUUCCAGGGGAGUUUGCUUAUUAAUUUGAUAAUCCUCAAUUUAUAUUUACUUUUUUUUGAAUGUUUAAUAAAUCAGUUUGUGUAUUGCUGUCAUCAGUUUAUUUUGUAAAAAUUUUGUAAGAAACUUAAUAAUGGAUUGGUUAGUAUGUCAAGUCAAAAUGCAGCUAAUAAAAAAGGUUUAUAAAGUGAGCUACAAUUUAUAAUUUUUAAUUCGGAUUGGAUUUUAUGUAAUUUUUUUAUGAAGUUGGACUUGGUAGUAAUAUUAAUAAUAGUAGGUUUUUGUGAAUAAGGUUUUAUAAUGCGUACAUAUCGCCCGUCGCUCUUGUUGGAAAAUAAGAUAAGUCGUAACAUAGUAGAGGUAGUGGAAGCUGUUUCUGGUUAUAU